AUUGGUUGCAGGAGCAGGAACAUCUCCAGACCAAGUCAUGACACUCACUGCCCAGGGUGUAUUUAGUAUUUUACAGUGAAAAUGUCCCAGCAAGAAGUGGAAGCAUCAUGAAGCGACUAGUGGGCCCUGUGCUGGGGCUUCUGUUGGCCCAGGUUUGCUGUGUGAGAGGAGUGGAUGUGGAGCAGAGUCCCCCAGCCCUGAGUCUCCAGGAGGGAGCCAGCUCCACGCUCUGGUGCAAUUUUUCCAUCUCCACACAGAAUGUGUACUGGUAUCGUCAGAAGAACGGGGGCCGUCUCGACCACUUGUUUUCCAUUCCUUCAGGGACCAAGCGGAAUGGAAGAUUAAACGCCACGACAGUCACUACAGAACGCCGCAGCUCAUUGUGCAUUUCCUCUGCCCAGAUCACAGACUCAGCCACGUACUUCUGUGCUGGGGAGCACAGCACUCCACAGGCACCUGCAGCCUGUACAGGAACCCUCCGCGGGGCUCAGCCCCUCUUCCAGCCACAGUCACACCACGAGGCCACCACAGGGCGUUCACAUUGCUUACUAUUUAGCUACACUGGUACAAUUGUAACCACAGACGCUUUUUGGCAUACAGUUUUGGGACUUUUGGGUCUUGUCGUCCUUCUCAAUUUAGAUCUCUUUCUGCGCUAG
Molecule: non-coding RNA, 656 nt
Organism: Phacochoerus africanus (Common warthog)
Lineage: Eukaryota; Metazoa; Chordata; Mammalia; Artiodactyla; Suidae
Source: the annotation of a RefSeq genome assembly